Molecule: unclassified non-coding RNA, 390 nt
Filed under: soil metagenome
Description: partial contains 5.8S ribosomal RNA, internal transcribed spacer 2, and large subunit ribosomal RNA
Rfam family: 5.8S ribosomal RNA (bases 1-122)
Source: RNAcentral
GAUGAAGAACGUAGCAAAAUGCGAUACUUGGUGUGAAUUGCAGAAUCCCGUGAACCAUCGAGUUUUUGAACGCAAGUUGCGCCCGAAGCCAUUCGGCCGAGGGCACGUCUGCCUGGGUGUCACGCAUCGUUGCCCCCCCAAACUCCGGUUCGGGCGGGGCGGAAGUUGGCCUCCCGUGCGUGCCUGCGCGCGCGGUUAGCCCAAAAGCGAGUCCUCGGCGAUGAGCGCCACGACAAUCGGUGGUUUUUUUACCCUCGUUCCUCGUCGUGCGUGCCCCGUCGCCCGAACGCGCUCUUGCAACCCUUACGCGUCGCCUCGGUGGCGCUCCCAACGCGACCCCAGGUCAGGCGGGACUACCCGCUGAGUUUAAGCAUAUCAAUAAGCGGAGGA